This is a non-coding RNA of Acanthosepion pharaonis, 111 nucleotides long. The record is from the annotation of a GenBank genome assembly. NCBI's taxonomy places the organism in Eukaryota, Metazoa, Mollusca, Cephalopoda, Sepiida, Sepiidae.
ACGACUACAUCACAUUGAAACAUUGGUUCCCAUAUGAUCACCAAAAUUAAGCAAAGUUGAGCCUGGUCAGUACCUAGAUUGGUGACCACUUGGGAAUACCAAGUGCUGUAA